GGCUCAGAUUGAACGCUGGCGGCAUGCCUUACACAUGCAAGUCGAACGGCAGCACGGGAGCAAUCCUGGUGGCGAGUGGCGAACGGGUGAGUAAUAUAUCGGAACGUGCCCGGUCGUGGGGGAUAACGUAGCGAAAGCUACGCUAAUACCGCAUACGAUCUAAGGAUGAAAGCGGGGGAUCGCAAGACCUCGCGCGAUUGGAGCGGCCGAUAUCAGAUUAGGUAGUUGGUGAGGUAAAGGCUCACCAAGCCAACGAUCUGUAGCUGGUCUGAGAGGACGACCAGCCACACUGGAACUGAGACACGGUCCAGACUCCUACGGGAGGCAGCAGUGGGGAAUUUUGGACAAUGGACGCAAGUCUGAUCCAGCCAUUCCGCGUGCAGGAUGAAGGCCCUCGGGUUGUAAACUGCUUUUAUACAGGAAGAAACACUCCGACGUGUCGGAGCUUGACGGUACUGUAAGAAUAAGGAUCGGCUAACUCCGUG
Molecule: ribosomal RNA, 485 nt
Filed under: uncultured bacterium
Lineage: Bacteria
Description: bacterial SSU rRNA
Rfam family: Bacterial small subunit ribosomal RNA
Source: RNAcentral